This 460-nucleotide ribosomal RNA is filed under the name uncultured bacterium. Its description in RNAcentral is "partial 16S ribosomal RNA". It matches the Rfam family "Bacterial small subunit ribosomal RNA", at positions 338 to 795 of the family's 1533-position model. The record is from RNAcentral.
CCUACGGGCGGCAGCAGUGAGGAAUAUUGGUCAAUGGCCGCAGGGCUGAACCAGCCAAGUCGCGUGAGGGAUGACGGUCCUAUGGAUUGUAAACUUCUUUUGUCAGGGAGCAAAUGGCGCCACGUGUGGCGCUUUGCGAGUACCUUACGAAUAAGCCACGGCUAACUACGUGCCAGCAGCCGCGGUAAUACGUAGGUGGCAAGCGUUAUCCGGAUUUACUGGGUGUAAAGGGCGUGUAGGCGGGACUGUAAGUCAGAUGUGAAAACCACGGGCUCAACCUGUGGCCUGCAUUUGAAACUGUAGUUCUAGAGUACUGGAGAGGCAGACGGAAUUCCUGGUGUAGCGGUGAAAUGCGUAGAUAUUAGGAGGAACACCAGUGGCGAAGGCGGUCUGCUGGACAGCAACUGACGCUGAGGCGCGAAAGCGUGGGGAGCAAACAGGAUUAGAUACCCGAGUAGUC